UACAGAGGGGGCGAGCGUUGUUCGGAAUUACUGGGCGUAAAGGGCGCGUAGGCGGCGGGGUAAGUCGGGUGUGAAAUCUCAGGGCUCAACCCUGAAACUGCACUCGAUACUGCUCUGCUUGAGGACUGGAGAGGAGACUGGAAUUCACGGUGUAGCAGUGAAAUGCGUAGAUAUCGUGAGGAAGACCAGUGGCGAAGGCGGGUCUCUGGACAGUUCCUGACGCUGAGGCGCGAAGGCCAGGGGAGCAAACGGG
Molecule: ribosomal RNA, 253 nt
Filed under: uncultured bacterium
Lineage: Bacteria
Description: partial 16S ribosomal RNA
Rfam family: Bacterial small subunit ribosomal RNA
Source: RNAcentral